This 388-nucleotide ribosomal RNA is filed under the name uncultured bacterium. RNAcentral describes it as "bacterial SSU rRNA". It matches the Rfam family "Bacterial small subunit ribosomal RNA", at positions 28 to 417 of the family's 1533-position model. The record is from RNAcentral.
GACGAACGCUGGCGGCGUGCUUAACACAUGCAAGUCGAGCGGAAAGGCCCUUUCGGGGGUACUCGAGCGGCGAACGGGUGAGUAACACGUGAGUAAUCUGCCCUUGGCUUUGGGAUAACUACCGGAAACGGUGGCUAAUACCGGAUAUGACCAUGCUCGGCAUCGGGUGUGGUGGAAAGUUUUUUCGGCCAGGGAUGUGCUCGCGGCCUAUCAGCUUGUUGGUGGGGUAAUGGCCUACCAAGGCUUCGACGGGUAGCCGGCCUGAGAGGGUGACCGGCCACACUGGGACUGAGACACGGCCCAGACUCCUACGGGAGGCAGCAGUGGGGAAUAUUGGACAAUGGGCGGAAGCCUGAUCCAGCAACGCCGCGUUGAGGGAUGACGGCCU